This 169-nucleotide microRNA precursor is filed under the name Oryza brachyantha (malo sina). RNAcentral describes it as "MIR812 microRNA precursor family". It matches the Rfam family "MIR812 microRNA precursor family", at positions 27 to 191 of the family's 205-position model. Lineage: Eukaryota; Viridiplantae; Streptophyta; Magnoliopsida; Poales; Poaceae. The record is from Rfam by way of RNAcentral.
UAUAAUGUUUUGACUCUUCGUCUUAUUUAAAUUUUUUUACGAUUAAUAUUUUUAUUCUUACUUGAUGAUAAAACAUAAAUAGUACUUUAUAUGUGACUAAUUUUUUUAAGUUUCUGUACAAAUUUUUUAAAUAAGAUAAAAAAAGUCAAAUAUUAAACACGGAAAAACA